ACGGAAGGCAGCAGUGGGGAAUCUUCCGCAAUGGGCGAAAGCCUGACGGAGCAAUGCCGCGUGAGCGAAGAAGGCCUUCGGGUUGUAAAGCUCUGUCCUUAUUGAAGAGGGGUAUUAGUGUGAAUAAUGCUGAUAUAGGACGGUAAAUAAGGAGGAAGCCCCGGCUAACUACGUGCCAGCAGCCGCGGUAAUACGUAGGGGGCAAGCGUUGUCCGGAAUCACUGGGCGUAAAGGGCGCGCAGGCGGUUCAGUAAGUCGGGGGUGAAAACUGAGGGCUCAACUCUCAGCCUGCCAUCGAUACUGCUGAACUUGAGUAUGGAAGAGGAGAAUGGAAUUCCUAGUGUAGCGGUGAAAUGCGUAGAUAUUAGGAGGAACACCAGUGGCGAAGGCGGCUUACUGGACUGUAACUGACGUUGAGGCUCGAAAGCGUGGGGAGCAGACAGGAUUAGAUACCCUGGUA
This 460-nucleotide ribosomal RNA is filed under the name uncultured Lachnospiraceae bacterium. Its description in RNAcentral is "bacterial SSU rRNA". It matches the Rfam family "Bacterial small subunit ribosomal RNA", at positions 341 to 792 of the family's 1533-position model. Lineage: Bacteria; Bacillati; Bacillota; Clostridia; Lachnospirales; Lachnospiraceae. The record is from RNAcentral.